UGAGUGAAGAAGGCUCUGGGUUGUUAGCUCUUUUGUAGGGGAAGAUAAUGACUGACCCUAAGAAUAAUGUCCGGCUAACUUCGUGCCAGCAGCCGCGGUAAUACGAAGGGACCUAGCGUAGUUCGGAAUUACUGGGCGUAAAGCGCGCGUAGGCCGUUGAGUUAGUUCAUUGUGAAAUCCCAAAGCUUAACUUUGGAACUGCAAUUAAAACUGCUCGACUAGAGUUUGAUAGAGGAAAGCGGAAUACAUAGUGUAGAGGUGAAAUUCGUAGAUAUUAUGUAGAACACCAGUUGCGAAGGCGGCUUUCUGGGUCAACACUGACGCUGAGGCGCGAAAGUAUGGGUAGCAAAGAGGAUUAGAUACCCUCGUAGUCCAUACCAUAAACGAUGAUUGCUAGAUGUUGGAAAUUUAUUUUCAGUAUCGCAGCUAACGCAUUAAGCAAUCCGCCUGGGGAGUACGAACGCAAGGUUAAAACUCAAAUGAAUUGACGGGGACCCGCAACAGCGGUGGAGCAUGUGGUUUAAUUCGAAGAUACGCGCAGAAACUU
This 547-nucleotide ribosomal RNA is filed under the name uncultured bacterium. RNAcentral describes it as "bacterial SSU rRNA". It matches the Rfam family "Bacterial small subunit ribosomal RNA", at positions 402 to 972 of the family's 1533-position model. The record is from RNAcentral.